CGCGGGAUGGAGCAGUUGGUAGCUCGUCGGGCUCAUAACCCGAAGGUCGUUGGUUCAAAUCCAGCUCCCGCAACCA
Molecule: transfer RNA, 76 nt
Filed under: Shewanella aestuarii
Lineage: Bacteria; Pseudomonadati; Pseudomonadota; Gammaproteobacteria; Alteromonadales; Shewanellaceae
Also listed under: 2 other names
Description: tRNA-Met
Rfam family: tRNA
About the family: Transfer RNA (tRNA) molecules are approximately 80 nucleotides in length. Their secondary structure includes four short double-helical elements and three loops (D, anti-codon, and T loops).
Source: RNAcentral